GCGCCGGUGGUGUAAGGCGAACAUAGCUGCCGGGAAGCAGAAGAUGCGGGUUCGAGUCCCGCCUGGCGCA
Molecule: non-coding RNA, 70 nt
Organism: Heligmosomoides polygyrus
Lineage: Eukaryota; Metazoa; Nematoda; Chromadorea; Rhabditida; Heligmosomidae
Source: Rfam